CCCAUAAAGUUGUUCUCAGUUCGGAUUGUAGUCUGCAACUCGACUACAUGAAGCUGGAAUCGCUAGUAAUCGUAGAUCAGCAUGCUACGGUGAAUACGUUCCCGGGUCUUGUACACACCGCCCGUCACACCACGAGAGUUUGUAACACCCGAAGCCGGUGGAGUAACCUUUUAGGAGCUAGCCGUCGAAGGUGGGACAAAUGAUUGGGGUGAAGUCGUAACAAGGUAGCCGUAUCGGAAGGUGCGGCUGGAUCACCUC
RNAcentral lists this ribosomal RNA (258 nucleotides) under Staphylococcus aureus. Its description in RNAcentral is "partial 16S ribosomal RNA". It matches the Rfam family "Bacterial small subunit ribosomal RNA", at positions 1273 to 1529 of the family's 1533-position model. The record is from RNAcentral. Lineage: Bacteria; Bacillati; Bacillota; Bacilli; Caryophanales; Staphylococcaceae.